This 250-nucleotide ribosomal RNA is filed under the name uncultured bacterium. RNAcentral's name for it is "partial 16S ribosomal RNA". It matches the Rfam family "Bacterial small subunit ribosomal RNA", at positions 84 to 334 of the family's 1533-position model. The record is from RNAcentral.
CUGGGUGGAAAGUGGCGAACGGGUGAGUAACACGUGGGUGACCUGCCCUGGAGAGGGGGAUAACCAUUCGAAAGGAUGGCUAAUACCGCAUAAUCCUAACUACAUGGGAAUGUAGAUGGGGAAAACUCCGGUGCUCUGGGAGGGGCCUGCGUCCGAUUAGCUAGUUGGUGGGGUAAAAGCCCACCAAGGCGACAAUCGGUAGCUGGUCUGAGAGGACGAUCAGCCACACGGGAACUGAGACACGGUCCCG